GACUUGAUCCCAGGACCCCGGGAGCACGACCUGAGCCAAAGGCAGACCCAACCACUGAGGCACCCAGGCAUCCCUAGCUACUCAUUCCUCUGUCUUGGGCUUGUGCCUCCCCACAUGCAGCAUCCUGGCCCCACCAAGGUA
Molecule: non-coding RNA, 141 nt
Organism: Canis lupus familiaris (dog)
Lineage: Eukaryota; Metazoa; Chordata; Mammalia; Carnivora; Canidae
Source: RefSeq, marked provisional